AUAAUUUAUUGCGAAACAACAAACACCCAGGUACAAAAUGUUGCUGAAAUUAAUUGCCGUUUGCGUGGCGAUUGCAGGUGUGACGGUUGAAUGUGAAUCAGUGUUGAACCAUCCGAGUCCCUUCGACCAACAGAUCCUAAACCUAACCCUGCAAUGCAAGCCGGUUGGCGCCAAAGAACACACAGUCGAUGUCGUGAACGCAUGCUCCCAUAUAGAAGCUCUAGAGACCUGCGUAGUGGACAUAUUAAAGAGCUACCCCAAGCCCCCAAGCCCUCGCUUCGUCGAAGAAAUGUUUGACGACGUAUUUGAGUUAAGUCACUGCAAGUCGGCUACUAGAAACACCCCCCUCAGUGUAUUUUAUAUAAUAAUAAUUCUUUAUCAUUUAUUAGGAUUUUUUAUUAAAUACAUUUUAUAAGUUUAUCGUAA
Ostrinia nubilalis (European corn borer) is the source of this 426-nucleotide long non-coding RNA. RefSeq lists it as uncharacterized. The record is from RefSeq and is a predicted model, not a curated record. The transcript is spliced from 3 exons. Lineage: Eukaryota; Metazoa; Arthropoda; Insecta; Lepidoptera; Crambidae.